CCUACGGGCGGCUGCAGUGGGGAAUAUUGGACAAUGGGCGAAAGCCUGAUCCAGCCAUGCCGCGUGUGUGAAGAAGGCCUUCGGGUUGUAAAGCACUUUCAGUGGGGAAGAAAGCCUUGGGGCUAAUACCCUCGAGGAAGGACAUCACCCACAGAAGAAGCACCGGCUAACUCCGUGCCAGCAGCCGCGGUAAUACGGAGGGUGCGAGCGUUAAUCGGAAUUACUGGGCGUAAAGCGCGCGUAGGUGGUCUGAUAAGCCGGUUGUGAAAGCCCCGGGCUCAACCUGGGAACGGCAUCCGGAACUGUCAGGCUAGAGUGCAGGAGAGGAAGGUAGAAUUCCCGGUGUAGCGGUGAAAUGCGUAGAGAUCGGGAGGAAUACCAGUGGCGAAGGCGGCCUUCUGGACUGACACUGACGCUGAGGUGCGAAAGCGUGGGUAGCAAACAGGAUUAGAUACCCUAGUAGUC
This 465-nucleotide ribosomal RNA is filed under the name Vreelandella stevensii. RNAcentral describes it as "partial 16S ribosomal RNA". It matches the Rfam family "Bacterial small subunit ribosomal RNA", at positions 338 to 795 of the family's 1533-position model. The record is from RNAcentral. Lineage: Bacteria; Pseudomonadati; Pseudomonadota; Gammaproteobacteria; Oceanospirillales; Halomonadaceae.